AUACAGUCGAUGAGAGGAAAGAGUACAUUUUCCAGCAGACUUCCAGCGAAUCGGGUAUGGUGUAAGCCGAUAGUCCAGCAGAAAUGGAAAAUCAUCCUUGAGAUAUGGUGCUGAACGCAUUUGACAUGUCAAAUGCAGUAGGCGGGCACGGGGGCUUCCCGUUACAGAAGCCGCGUAUGCUGGUACGUAGUAGAGUGCCCUGUCAUAAAAACAGGCAGGGAAUUUGGGUGGUAACACGGAUAAUGAGUUCGUCCCUUCG
Molecule: non-coding RNA, 259 nt
Filed under: Pseudoselenomonas ruminantium
Lineage: Bacteria; Bacillati; Bacillota; Negativicutes; Selenomonadales; Selenomonadaceae
Description: Selenomonas ruminantium T-box sequence
Rfam family: T-box leader
About the family: Uncharged tRNA acts as the effector for transcription antitermination of genes in the T-box leader family. T-boxes are found upstream of many aminoacyl-tRNA synthetase genes and some amino acid biosynthetic genes usually in Gram-positive bacteria.
Source: RNAcentral